GUGAGGAAUAUUGGUCAAUGGGCGAGAGCCUGAACCAGCCAAGUCGCGUGAAGGAAGAAGGAUCUAUGGUUCGUAAACUUCUUUUGCAGGGGAAUAAAGUGCGGGACGUGUCCUGUUUUGUAUGUACCCUGAGAAUAAGGAUCGGCUAACUCCGUGCCAGCAGCCGCGGUAAUACGGAGGAUCCGAGCGUUAUCCGGAUUUAUUGGGUUUAAAGGGUGCGUAGGUGGUUUGAUAAGUCAGCGGUGAAAGUUUGCAGCUUAACUGUAAAAAUGCCGUUGAAACUGUAGGACUUGAGUGUAAAUGAGGUAGGCGGAAUGCGUGGUGUAGCGGUGAAAUGCAUAGAUAUCACGCAGAACUCCGAUUGCGAAGGCAGCUUACUAAGCUACAACUGACACUGAAGCACGAAAGCGUGGGGAUCAAACAGGAUUAGAUACCCGAGUAGUCC
This 445-nucleotide ribosomal RNA is filed under the name uncultured bacterium. Its description in RNAcentral is "partial 16S ribosomal RNA". It matches the Rfam family "Bacterial small subunit ribosomal RNA", at positions 354 to 796 of the family's 1533-position model. The record is from RNAcentral.